UCCCUUGUGUCUCAGCUGGUAGAGAAUCUGCCUGCAGUGUGGAAGAUCUGGGUUCGAUCCCUGGGUUGGGAA
This 72-nucleotide transfer RNA is filed under the name Ovis aries (sheep). It matches the Rfam family "tRNA". From Rfam's summary of the family: Transfer RNA (tRNA) molecules are approximately 80 nucleotides in length. Lineage: Eukaryota; Metazoa; Chordata; Mammalia; Artiodactyla; Bovidae. The record is from Rfam by way of RNAcentral.